This is a long non-coding RNA of Panicum virgatum (switchgrass), 2800 nucleotides long. RefSeq lists it as uncharacterized. Lineage: Eukaryota; Viridiplantae; Streptophyta; Magnoliopsida; Poales; Poaceae. The record is from RefSeq and is a predicted model, not a curated record. The transcript has 2 exons.
UCCUUAGCUACCUCCAACGCACAACGGGGCUAUCAUGGCUGUUCCAGCAAAGGCACUCAAGGCUCGCCUCUGUCGCGGUGUUCGUCAGAUUUUGGUGUAGUGGGAGGGACUCCCGCCCUCAUCCGCGUCGUGGGAAGACCUGACAGCAUUCCAGGAGCAGUAGCCUUCCUUCCAGCUUGAGGACAAGCUGUUGCUCGAGGGGGGGGGGGAGUGAUGUUAUGUGGGGGAAACAGUACGUGCGUCGUUCCAAGAAAGUGGUUGGUUAAACCAUAUGUAUCCUUGCUUAGUCGACAGGUUAGUUGGUUGGAUAGAUUCGGAGGUUAGUCAGGAUAGUUCGGUUAGUUAGAUAAGGUUUGUUGGCAGAUUUGAUUAGUAGAUUGGUUUGUUUGCAGUUUGUACGGGAGGCGACAAUGCUGGAUAUAUAACCAGCCGUGUAAUCUGAAAACACUUAAGCAAUGAAAGUAUCUUCCUCCUACUUCUAAUCUCUUAAGCGUGGAGCAGGAGGGACUAGAUCCCUCUCCUCUAUCGUCAUCUACCCGACUAGGACCUAGCUACUACAAUUUUCGUCCAUUUUUCUUCCAAUUACUUCGUGUUGGGUGGUAGGGGAUUUGAAGUAUGGUGGAUUUGGGCAUGGAUGCGCAUAGGUUGGGUUUAGGGUUGCGAAAUUGUUGCCUUUGUUUGCCAUGUUAUCUAGUCGUCCGACUAGUCGCGAUUAGUCGCGAUUAGUCGGGCUUAUCGGUCUAUGGACCUCGAUAAGGGGCACCGAUUAGGUUGGAGCGACAAGUUUUCUAGUCGUCCGAAUAGUCGUCGCCUAAUCGCAAUUAGUCGCGCCGAUCAGCUAGAAAAACGAUCAGACCACGAGCCGGUGGUGGGCUAUUUUGCGUUGUGGGCUUGGGCCGGUGGUGGGCUGGAGAGGCGGCCCAUUAGGUUUUAGGUAUAUAGUCAGACACAGCAGCUCCCAGCUCCAGACCACGACCGUCCGCCCGCUCCUCCAGACUACUAGCGCCGUCCGCCGCCGCCCGCCAAAUCCGCGCCAAAAUCGCGCUGCCCCGCCCAAAAUUGUGCCGCCCCGUGGACCGCCGCCGCCUGCUACACGUCCGCCGGCGCAGCUGCUGGCCUGCUGCUGCUACCGCGGCAAGACCCGGCGGCCGGCGACCCUCUUUCUUCCGCUUCCUAAGUUCCUGGCUUUGCCUCCGCCUCCGCCAGGCCUUGGGCGCCGGCGUUCUGCAAGGCUGCCACCAGCAGCAGCACCUGAAGAUGACCUCCUCUUCCUCCGACGGUAAGUGGCAUGUUUCUUCUCUAUGCUCUCCCCUCCCCUGCUUCACUAUCUGCUCGUGCUUUUUCUCCAUGCUCUCCGCUCCCCUGCUUUACUGUCUGCUCAUACUCGAGCUCCGCUUCCCCUCUUGUUUGCUAUUCUUCUAGCUUCUUUCUCUCCUCUGCUUAGUGUUAUGUGUAUGUGCAGAUGUGGAUCGACGCCACAGAGCUAUGGAAGUGUUCCCGCACAUACACUUCCACCAUCAUUGUUGCCUUCAUGCUUGCUUUUUAUUAAGUAAUAUGUAGUACAUAUAUCAUAUCGGUCCUGGGACACUAGGACGACUAGGCAGACGACUAGAACCGACUAGGCUCGACUAAUCGGCCUGAUCGACGACUAAUCGCGACUAGUCAUCUGAUCGGUCCCAAGGCGACUAGGUCCGACUAGACGAUUUGAAAACAUGGUUUGUUUGGAUGUAUACUUGGUGCGAUGGGGAUUGAAUCAGUCGAGAAUUGUAGGAUCUGAAAUUGGGUUAUGUUCAUGUGUUGAAAUUUUCCAGCGAGUUAGCGUUGGAUGGUAUAUUCGACAGUUUGAUAUGUGUUUUGGGUUAAUUAGCCAUGCGAGUACAAACAAUUAUUUCCACUUUAUGUUCUUCCGAUGGUAGCACAAGGAGUCUGAGUUCAACGAAACAUGAGGGGGAAAAACUCUGUUCAAUUGAAACUACCGUGAAAUUUUGAUUCAUACCAUCAUAAGUGGCCUUGUCUAUCUAGCUUCUAGGUUAAUAUUACUAUCCUUUCACUGUGGUUCUAGCGCAAUAAUGUUCACAUUAGUGAUUAGUCAGAUUGAAACUGGUAAGCCUCUAAUAAUUCUGACCAGUUAGAAUCAGUGAAUAAUGGAUGCUGCAACCCACAGAAUCAAAGCAAACUUUUAUUAUCUCCUUUUUUUUGUUACAAGGAGUCUAGCUGAAAAGCACACGUAUUCUUAUCUCCAGCUUUUUCUAAACAAAUGCCGCCAAAAGUAGAUGUUGCAUUGUAAAUGCUUGACCAUUUUUCGUAAUGCUUGAAUAUUAUUGCUGUUUAUCUUGAACAUUAUUUCUAAAAUCAGAGGGAUUAUUAUGGUGGCCAAUGAGGUUUUUGGCACACAACUUUUUUUUGGAUUCGCAGUGAUGCUCAUCCUUGAAUAUAUUGACUGAUCUGUCAUAUUCUAUUGCAGAACAGGAUCAUUUAGUCUCAUUCUCAAAUGGCUGGUUCGGACUUGGUAUAAUCUCCUCUGGCUCAACUGAUGCUAUUGUCCUCAGGGCUGUACAAGGGAAUGAUUGGGAAGACUUUAUUUGCUAUCCAAUUAAGCAUCACUUGUGAUUUUGUGAAGAAGUUAUAGCUAUAAGAUCAAAUGUAUCGCCCAGACAAGUUAUAUUAUCCUUAUGGAAGAUAUGGACAUGAUUUACUAUUUCACUUAAUGAUGAUCACGUGAAAUCUCCAAGAUCAUCUAAUUAUGCAUGUGUGAUGAUCAACAUGUUAUCAAUUAUUUUAUUUUUUCUUCGUUGCUUCA